RNAcentral lists this transfer RNA (81 nucleotides) under Xanthomonas boreopolis. RNAcentral describes it as "[Pseudomonas] boreopolis tRNA-Ala". The record is from RNAcentral. Lineage: Bacteria; Pseudomonadati; Pseudomonadota; Gammaproteobacteria; Lysobacterales; Lysobacteraceae.
GCUCGACCAGGUCGGUGACCGCGCGGUUGCGGCGCGCCGACGGGUUGAUGCCCGUCACCGCGUUCGGGUUGUAGGUGGGCA